Molecule: long non-coding RNA, 512 nt
Filed under: Felis catus (domestic cat)
Lineage: Eukaryota; Metazoa; Chordata; Mammalia; Carnivora; Felidae
Description: lncRNA (ENSFCAG00000052468.1)
Source: RNAcentral
CGAGAGCACAGAGCACAGCCCUGUGCGCUUCAGGAGCUGCUGACCUGCCGGGACUGAGGUCUCAGUGAGUGUGAAUGUUCCUCUGAUGCCUGGACAUUGGCACAGGGAAGGUGGAGAGGAAGGUGGCAGGCAGGAACAGCACAGGUGCUCAAUGCUGGUGGCAGAAACGCCCCCAGGACGCUGGCCUGGAAGGAGUAGGCCGCCCCAGGUGUCAAGAGGAUGACACACGGACAGAUGGACAGACAGAUGGACAGCUCCUGGACUCAGGCAACAGUGACAUCCUGUGAGGCACUCGUCUCCCAGUGACAGGACCUGUUUGCACCUUCGCUGCUUGGGCUGGACCCUCAGCUGGCCUUGCUGUCUCUGCACUUCCUCGCCUGGAGACCCCACCUGUUCCCUCUGUGCCGACCCAGACCACACGUGCGUCUCCAGCCCAGACCCUGCGCUGAGCCCCGCAGGCACUUGCGACCCGCCGUUGGUGCCCUCCAGGCGUCCCCAACUAACGGAAAGGC